RNAcentral lists this ribosomal RNA (411 nucleotides) under uncultured bacterium. RNAcentral describes it as "bacterial SSU rRNA". It matches the Rfam family "Bacterial small subunit ribosomal RNA", at positions 74 to 483 of the family's 1533-position model. The record is from RNAcentral.
CGGGGGCAACCCUGGUGGCGAGUGGCGGACGGGUGAGUAAUACAUCGGAACGUGCCCUGAAGUGGGGGAUAACGCAGCGAAACGUACGCUAAUACCGCAUAUUCUGUGAGCAGGAAAGCAGGGGAUCGCAAGACCUUCGCUUUGGGAGCGGCCGAUGUCGGAUUAGCUAGUUGGUGGGGUAAUGGCCUACCAAGGCGACGAUCCGUAGCGGGUCUGAGAGGAUGAUCCGCCACACUGGGACUGAGACACGGCCCAGACUCUACGGGAGGCAGCAGUGGGGAAUUUUGGACAAUGGGCGGAAGCCUGAUCCAGCCAUGCCGCGUGAGUGAAGAAGGCCUUCGGGUUGUAAAGCUCUUUCGGCGGGGAAGAAAUUGCUUGGGUUAAUACCCUGAGUAGAUGACGGUACCCGAA